This 85-nucleotide transfer RNA is filed under the name Phlebotomus papatasi. RNAcentral's name for it is "tRNA tRNA-Tyr". It matches the Rfam family "tRNA". Rfam says of the family: Transfer RNA (tRNA) molecules are approximately 80 nucleotides in length. Their secondary structure includes four short double-helical elements and three loops (D, anti-codon, and T loops). Further hydrogen bonds mediate the characteristic L-shaped molecular structure. tRNAs have two regions of fundamental functional importance: the anti-codon, which is responsible for specific mRNA codon recognition, and the 3' end, to which the tRNAs corresponding amino acid is attached (by aminoacyl-tRNA synthetases). tRNAs cope with the degeneracy of the genetic code in two manners: having more than one tRNA (with a specific anti-codon) for a particular amino acid; and 'wobble' base-pairing, i.e. permitting non-standard base-pairing at the 3rd anti-codon position. Lineage: Eukaryota; Metazoa; Arthropoda; Insecta; Diptera; Psychodidae. The record is from RNAcentral.
GUCUCUAUAGCUCAGUUGGUAGAGCACUCGUCUAUAGACGUCUAUAGUUAACGAGAGGUCUCCAGUUCGAUUCUGGGUGGAGGCA